This 254-nucleotide ribosomal RNA is filed under the name uncultured bacterium. RNAcentral describes it as "partial 16S ribosomal RNA". It matches the Rfam family "Bacterial small subunit ribosomal RNA", at positions 524 to 776 of the family's 1533-position model. The record is from RNAcentral.
UACGAAGGGGGCUAGCGUUGUUCGGAAUCACUGGGCGUAAAGCGUACGCAGGCGGAUCGAUAAGUCAGGGGUGAAAUCCCGGGGCUCAACCUCGGAAUUGCCUUUGAUACUGUCGAUCUUCGAGUUCGGGAGAGGUUGGCGGAAUCCCUAGUGUAGAGGUGAAAUUCGUAGAUAUUAGGAAGAACACCAGUGGCGAAGGCGGCCAACUGGCCCGAUACUGACGCUCAUGUACGAAAGCGUGGGGAGCCAACAGG